UACGGGGGGGGCAAGCGUUGUUCGGAAUUACUGGGCGUAAAGCGCGUGUAGGCUGCCCCGAAAGUCAGGUGUGAAAGCCCUGGGCUCAACCCAGGAAGUGCACUUGAAACUUCGGGGCUCGAGUUCUGGAGAGGAUAGCGGAAUUCUCGGUGUAGAGGUGAAAUUCGUAGAUAUCUGGAGGAAUACCGGUGGCGAGGGCGGCAUCCUGGACCGGCAUUGACGCUGAGGAGCGAAAGCUAGGGGAGCAAACGGG
RNAcentral lists this ribosomal RNA (253 nucleotides) under uncultured bacterium. RNAcentral describes it as "partial 16S ribosomal RNA". It matches the Rfam family "Bacterial small subunit ribosomal RNA", at positions 524 to 776 of the family's 1533-position model. The record is from RNAcentral.